GGGGGGGGCAAGCGUUGUUCGGAAUUACUGGGCGCAAAGGGCUCGUAGGUGGCCAACUAAGUCAGACGUGAAAUCCCUCGGCUUAACCGGGGAACUGCGUCUGAUACUGGAUGGCUUGAGUUCGGGAGAGGGAUGCGGAAUUCCAGGUGUAGCGGUGAAAUGCGUAGAUAUCUGGAGGAACACCGGUGGCGAAGGCGGCAUCCUGGACCGACACUGACACUGAGGAGCGAAAGCCAGGGGAGCAAACGGGAUUAGAUACCCCGGUAGUCCUGGCCCUAAACGAUGAAUGCUUGGUGUGGCGGGUAUCGAUCCCUGCCGUGCCGAAGCUAACGCAUUAAGCAUUCCGCCUGGGGAGUACGGUCGCAAGGCUG
RNAcentral lists this ribosomal RNA (371 nucleotides) under uncultured bacterium. Its description in RNAcentral is "bacterial SSU rRNA". It matches the Rfam family "Bacterial small subunit ribosomal RNA", at positions 527 to 896 of the family's 1533-position model. The record is from RNAcentral.